GUUAGAGAAGAAGGAACAUGAUCAAGUAGAUAAAGUUUAAUUUUCUGCUUCUGUGUUAUGUGGGAGAGGGUUAAUUUAGCUGCUUCCUUCCAGUAGAGGAUUUGGGACUGCAGUCUUCAGCCACCCAUAGAUAUUCAUGUUGCUGAGCUCACACCUCAUGUUUCUCUUCAGUGUUUCCCAUCAGCUCUUUUGGGGUGCUCUCUGCUCAGCUGCUCACCCAUUACUCUGUUUUUUAACAGUUGUUUUCUUGAGGACCCAACUUCCCCCUUGCACCUUGCAGCCAAUGUGCUUGCUGUGCUCAGGACAGCUGCUAGGCAUGUGACACUCACAACAUGUGUGCACCAGCAGUCAGCAUCACAAAGGAGUGAAUCCACAUGGAACUACUGUCCUACAGUUCCACAAAGAGUGUUAAAACAUGAAAAAGAGUCAGAAGGAAGGUCCAGCACUCAAAACUGCAUCCUAUAGGAAGAGCCUACAGCUCGUGAAGAUCCUGAGUUUCAUUCAAGCCUUUAUGCAGUCUACUAACGAAUUGUCUUUAGCAAUAGGGAGGCAGAGCUGGAUUAGCUGCCUGGAAAUGUUGUAAUUUUCCAGUGUAUAAUAGAAGCAGAUUGCUGGGGACAGUGACAGAAGCUUCCUUGACCUCUCACUGACUCAGGUAUAGAUUACUGAGCAAAAAAUAGUGAUUAAUCAGAGGAAAACUGAAGCUCAUUUUCUCCUUGCAUCCAAAAAAGCAGAGAUCUAAUUAGAGAUCACGGUUAGAACUGAAGCAUAAUUUUGAUACUUCUAUGUAAUGUACUUCAUCAAUUAAAAGUUUCACUGUACUAAUUGAUGCAUUA
Passer domesticus (house sparrow) is the source of this 836-nucleotide long non-coding RNA. RefSeq lists it as uncharacterized. Lineage: Eukaryota; Metazoa; Chordata; Aves; Passeriformes; Passeridae. The record is from RefSeq and is a predicted model, not a curated record. The transcript has 3 exons.